This 497-nucleotide ribosomal RNA is filed under the name uncultured bacterium. Its description in RNAcentral is "partial 16S ribosomal RNA". It matches the Rfam family "Bacterial small subunit ribosomal RNA", at positions 28 to 507 of the family's 1533-position model. The record is from RNAcentral.
GAUGAACGCUGGCGGCGUGCCUAAUACAUGCAAGUCGAGCGAACGGACGAGAAGCUUGCUUCUCUGAUGUUAGCGGCGGACGGGUGAGUAACACGUGGAUAACCUACCUAUAAGACUGGGAUAACUUCGGGAAACCGGAGCUAAUACCGGAUAAUAUUUUGAACCGCAUGGUUCAAAAGUGAAAGACGGUCUUGCUGUCACUUAUAGAUGGAUCCGCUCUGCAUUAGCUAGUUGGUAAGGUAACGGCUUACCAAGGCAACGAUGCAUAGCCGAACUGAGAGGGUGAUCGGCCACACUGGAACUGAGACACGGUCCAGACGCCUACGGGAGGCAGCAGUAGGGAAGCUUCCGCAAUGGGCGAAAGCCUGACGGAGCAACGCCGCGUGAGUGAUGAAGGUCUUCGGAUCGUAAAGCUCUGUUAUUAGGGAAGAACAUAUGUGUAAGUAACUGUGCACAUCUUGACGGUACCUAAUCAGAAAGCCACGGCUAACUACGUG